UGUGUAGGCGGUUCUUUAAGUUUGGUGUGAAAUCUCCCGGCUUAACCGGGAGGGUGCGCCGAAUACUGAGGGACUAGAGUACGGGAGAGGAAAGUGGAAUUCCUGGUGUAGCGGUGAAAUGCGUAGAUAUCAGGAGGAACACCGGUGGUGUAGACGGCUUUCUGGACCGUAACUGACGCUGAGACACGAAAGCGUGGGUAGCAAACAGGAUUAGAUACCCUGGUAGUCCACGCCCUAAACGAUGCAUAUUUGGUGUGGGUCAUUCAGUUGAUCCGUGCCGGAGCUAACGCGUUAAAUAUGCCGCCUGGGGAGUACAGUCGCAAGGCUAGAA
This 331-nucleotide ribosomal RNA is filed under the name uncultured bacterium. RNAcentral describes it as "bacterial SSU rRNA". It matches the Rfam family "Bacterial small subunit ribosomal RNA", at positions 568 to 899 of the family's 1533-position model. The record is from RNAcentral.